RNAcentral lists this small nuclear RNA (19 nucleotides) under Arabidopsis thaliana (thale cress). RNAcentral describes it as "snRNA_16319". Lineage: Eukaryota; Viridiplantae; Streptophyta; Magnoliopsida; Brassicales; Brassicaceae. The record is from RNAcentral.
ACGUCGGCGGGGGCCUCGG